CAUCAUCUUGCCAACCUCCUCCCUCCUUGAAGCCAUCCCAUCUCGAUGCUGCCACCGCCACAGUCCCAUCAUCAUCCUCCCUACCAUCCUCCCACUUUUUUUCAUCAUCUCACCAGCCUCCAUCAUCGAAGCCAAUCCCAGUAUCUUGAAGCCAUUAGUGACUCGGCUCCAUCCACCGUCGUCCUCUCCACGGCCUCCUCCAGUUAACACGUCUAACUAAGUUGUUCGGUGAAAUGUUUAAAGCCUAGAUAUAAUCCGAUGCUAAGUGGUUUUUAACUUAAC
This 282-nucleotide long non-coding RNA is filed under the name Elaeis guineensis (African oil palm). RNAcentral describes it as "long non-coding RNA (EGUI_LNC042086)". Lineage: Eukaryota; Viridiplantae; Streptophyta; Magnoliopsida; Arecales; Arecaceae. The record is from RNAcentral.